GAUGAACGCUGGCGGCGUGCCUAAUACAUGCAAGUCGAGCGAACAGACGAGGAGCUUGCUCCUCUGACGUUAGCGGCGGACGGGUGAGUAACACGUGGAUAACCUACCUAUAAGACUGGGAUAACUUCGGGAAACCGGAGCUAAUACCGGAUAAUAUAUUGAACCGCAUGGUUCAAUAGUGAAAGACGGCUUUGCUGUCACUUAUAGAUGGAUCCGCGCUGCAUUAGCUAGUUGGUAAGGUAACGGCUUACCAAGGCAACGAUGCGUAGCCGACCUGAGAGGGUGAUCGGCCACACGGGAACUGAGACGCGGUCCAGACUACUACGGGAGGCAGCAGUAGGGAAUCUUCCGCAAUGGGCGAAAGCCUGGCGGAGCAACGCCGCGUGAGUGAUGAAGGUCUUCGGAUCGUAAAACUCUGUUAUUAGGGAAGAACAAAUGUGUAAGUAACUAUGCACGUCUUGACGGUACCUAAUCAGAAAGCCACGGCUAACUACGUG
RNAcentral lists this ribosomal RNA (497 nucleotides) under uncultured bacterium. Its description in RNAcentral is "partial 16S ribosomal RNA". It matches the Rfam family "Bacterial small subunit ribosomal RNA", at positions 28 to 507 of the family's 1533-position model. The record is from RNAcentral.